ACGCGUGGAACCUUACCAGGUCUUGACAUCCUCUGACACUCCUAGAGAUAGGACGUUCCCCUUCGGGGGACAGAGUGACAGGUGGUGCAUGGUUGUCGUCAGCUCGUGUCGUGAGAUGUUGGGUUAAGUCCCGCAACGAGCGCAACCCUUGAUCUUAGUUGCCAGCAUUAAGUUGGGCACUCUAAGGUGACUGCCGGUGACAAACCGGAGGAAGGUGGGGAUGACGUCAAAUCAUCAUGCCCCUUAUGACCUGGGCUACACACGUGCUACAAUGGAUGGUACAAAGGGCUGCAAGACUGCGAAGUCAAGCCAAUCCCAUAAAACCAUUCUCAGUUCGGAUUGCAGGCUGCAACUCGCCUGCAUGAAGCUGGAAUCGCUAGUAAUCGCGGAUCAGCAUGCCGCGGUGAAUACGUUCCCGGGCCUUGCACACACCGCCCGU
RNAcentral lists this ribosomal RNA (439 nucleotides) under uncultured bacterium. RNAcentral's name for it is "bacterial SSU rRNA". It matches the Rfam family "Bacterial small subunit ribosomal RNA", at positions 959 to 1397 of the family's 1533-position model. The record is from RNAcentral.